UGAGGAAUAUUGGUCAAUGGGCGAGAGCCUGAACCAGCCAAGUCGCGUGAAGGAAGACGGCCCUAUGGGUUGUAAACUUCUUUUGUAGGGGAAUAAAAAAGAGUACGAGUGCUCUAUUGCAGGUACCCUACGAAUAAGGAUCGGCUAACUCCGUGCCAGCAGCCGCGGUAAUACGGAGGAUCCAAGCGUUAUCCGGAUUUAUUGGGUUUAAAGGGUGCGUAGGCGGUCUUAUAAGUCAGUGGUGAAAGUUUUCGGCUCAACCGGAAAAUUGCCAUUGAAACUGUAGGACUUGAGUACAAAUGAGGUAGGCGGAAUGUAUUGUGUAGCGGUGAAAUGCUUAGAUAUAAUACAGAACACCAAUUGCGAAGGCAGCUUACUGGAAUGUCACUGACGCUGAGGCACGAAAGCGUGGGGAUCAAACA
This 422-nucleotide ribosomal RNA is filed under the name uncultured prokaryote. RNAcentral describes it as "bacterial SSU rRNA". It matches the Rfam family "Bacterial small subunit ribosomal RNA", at positions 355 to 774 of the family's 1533-position model. The record is from RNAcentral.